This 75-nucleotide ribosomal RNA is filed under the name Gopherus agassizii (Agassiz's desert tortoise). The record is from RNAcentral. Lineage: Eukaryota; Metazoa; Chordata; Testudines; Testudinidae.
GCAUAAGCUAUAGGUUUAAGUCUGUUUAGUUCUUGGAUGGGUGACCACCUGAGAAAGCCAAAUGCUCUAUAUGCU